RNAcentral lists this long non-coding RNA (827 nucleotides) under Homo sapiens (human). RNAcentral describes it as "HSALNT0235216". Lineage: Eukaryota; Metazoa; Chordata; Mammalia; Primates; Hominidae. The record is from RNAcentral.
GAGGUGCUGAGCGUCUGUGUCCACGCUGUCUCCUCUCCGGGAUCAGGAGGUGCUGUGCGUCUGUGUCCACGCUGUCUCUUCUCCGGGAUCAGGAGGUGCUGAGCGUCUGUGUCCACGCUGUCUCCUCCCUGGGAUCAGGGGCUUUGCCAGCUUGCUCACCUUUGGCCCCUGGGCACAUGAUGGACUCUUACCAAAUGUUAGUUGAGUAAAUGUGAGUGGGUGGCACAGGAGGAGUCAGGCUAGGUGGCCAUCUGUGUGGGAGAUUCGAGAAAACUCUUCCUGCAAACAGCCUCCCAGAAACUAGCACCAGAAUGCCUGGGCCUCACCAUUGGUGACUCCUUUUUCCCUCACUCCUCACAUAUAGAAUGCAAAUACUAUGAGGAAGACAAAGACAUGAAAUCAUUAACACUUCUUCAGAGUCACACACACGUCCAGCUGCCCCUCCCCAAAUCACCCAGGCCGAGGCCGCCCCACCCCAGUACCCGUCAGAACCCCCUGGAGGGUGAGUUCAGACCCCCGGGGGGCCGCCUCCUGGGCUUCUGAUUCAGGAGGCUGGGGCGGGCCCUGAGGCUCCACAUUGCUGACAAGUUGCAGGUGGUCCGCUGCCAGUCCGCUUGGAGAAUUCUGCUCCCGCUCACGCCGGACUGAACUGGCUGCUGCCCAGCCUACCACGGUCUCCGUCCGUCUUCUCUGGCAGGGGCUGGCUCUCCCAGGUGUCGCUGAGUGCCUGGUUGUUCCAAUUCAGUUUGCUUACAGUGUCUGUGAGUAAUGUCCAAGGCUCCCCUCCUGCUCCUCCACACCCACAUGGCGUGAGCAGCUUCCCCAGC